UACGUAGGGUGCAAGCGUUAAUCGGAAUUACUGGGCGUAAAGCGUGCGCAGGCGGUUGUGCAAGACCGAUGUGAAAUCCCCGGGCUUAACCUGGGAAUUGCAUUUGUGACUGUACGGCUAGAGUGUGUCAGAGGGGGGUAGAAUUCCACGUGUAGCAGUGAAAUGCGUAGAGAUGUGGAGGAAUACCGAUGGCGAAGGCAGCCCCCUGGGAUAACACUGACGCUCAUGCACGAAAGCGUGGGGAGCAAACAGG
Molecule: ribosomal RNA, 253 nt
Filed under: uncultured bacterium
Lineage: Bacteria
Description: partial 16S ribosomal RNA
Rfam family: Bacterial small subunit ribosomal RNA
Source: RNAcentral